UACGUAGGGAGCAAGCGUUGUCCGGAAUCAUUGGGCGUAAAGCGCGCGUAGGUGGCCCCAUAAGUCCGCUGUGAAAGUCAAAGGCUCAACCUUUGAAAGCCGGUGGAUACUGUGGGACUAGAGUACGGAAGAGGCGAGUGGAAUUCCUGGUGUAGCGGUGGAAUGCGCAGAUAUCAGGAGGAACACCAAUAGCGAAGGCAGCUCGCUGGGACAUUACUGACACUGAGGCGCGAAAGCGUGGGGAGCGAACAGG
RNAcentral lists this ribosomal RNA (253 nucleotides) under uncultured bacterium. RNAcentral's name for it is "partial 16S ribosomal RNA". It matches the Rfam family "Bacterial small subunit ribosomal RNA", at positions 524 to 776 of the family's 1533-position model. The record is from RNAcentral.